AAUAGAUACCCGGGUAGUCCUUGCCGUAAACUAUGUAUACUUGGUGUAACUGGACUCAACCCUAGUUGUGCCGUAGCUAACGCGAUAAGUAUACCGCCUGAGGAGUACGCUCGCAAGGGUGAAACUCAAAAGAAUUGACGGGGACCCGCACAAGCAGUGGAGCAUGUGGUUUAAUUCGAUGCAACGCGAAGAACCUUACCCAGACUUGACAUGCAGUAGACAGUACUAGAAAUAGUAUCUCCCUUCGGGACUGCUGCACAGGUGCUGCAUGGCUGUCGUCAGCUCGUGCCGUGAGGUGUUGGGUUAAGUCCCGCAACGAGCGCAACCCUUAUCAUUAGUUGCCAACAUUUUAGGUGGGAACUCUAAUGAGACUGCCUGGGUUAACCAGGAGGAAGGUGAGGAUGACGUCAAGUCCGCAUGGCCCUUAUGUCUGGGGCUACACACGUGCUACAAUGGUCGGUACAGAAGGCAGCGAAGCCGCGAGGUGAAGCAAAUCCAAAAAGCCGAUCCCAGUUCAGAUUG
This 522-nucleotide ribosomal RNA is filed under the name uncultured bacterium. Its description in RNAcentral is "bacterial SSU rRNA". It matches the Rfam family "Bacterial small subunit ribosomal RNA", at positions 777 to 1300 of the family's 1533-position model. The record is from RNAcentral.